CUUGAUGAUGCAUAGCAGAGAAAUAUGAGUAUAAUUUGAUUUUUAACUACAAGAGAUUAUACAACAUCGAAAUGUAUUCAUCGGACAACAAUUUACUGUUAGUGUUUGACGUGUGCAAAGUUUUCAAGGAAGUGAGUCUAAUUGUUUCUGGUAAUAACCGAGCGAAGCUAUUCUGGCGAAAUUCUUAAGAUACUUUAUACACAAAAAUAAGAUGAUAAUCAACAGCCUAAACAGCUAAGUUUACAAUACACAUACUUAAUUGUAAGAUGUACUAUAAAUAAUUAUCGUUCGCUAUUCUUAAUUUUUAUGAUGGGUCGUUUGACGUCAUUGAAGACGUUGUUCUGUCAUCCCAGAUAGUUUGAAUUUAUAACAAGUUUGUCAAGACGAGCAAACAAUUAAUAUAAUUGUUCCCAGUGAAUAGAAACAUCAAGGUUUUACUCAGCCGUUACCCUGAAAUUAAUCGUUGAUAAAAAAAUUGUAACUUUAAAAUUGUUUAGAACACUUUCGCUUCAUUCAAAUUCUAAAAGAUUUCUCAUGGUCAUCGAUAAAUUAUUAAAUAUAUCGUCUCUCGUUUUUUCACUUCUUUACUCGUCGUUUUCUAUUCAUGUUUCAGGGUACCUCAUUCUUAGUAUUAUUCGCAAUUACAAACUAUUACGAGCAUUAUUUUUCUCCUUCUUGUGGUGAGAUCACAAAUUUUAAUAUUACAUUAACUGAACAUCAGUUUCGCAACUCACAUCAAAAGAUUAUACAUUCAAUAGAUCACGCCACGUAACAUUUAAUCUACACUUCAAUUUUGUAAAUAAUAAUAACAACACCAACAAUGCUAAUAAUAAUGUUAACAACAAAUAUCACGUGUCUCCUUAGCAUUGACUUUGAAUGAUAAAAAUAAAAUUAAAUAUUAUGUAAUAAAA
Athalia rosae (coleseed sawfly) is the source of this 911-nucleotide long non-coding RNA. RefSeq lists it as uncharacterized. The transcript has 2 exons. The record is from RefSeq and is a predicted model, not a curated record. NCBI's taxonomy places the organism in Eukaryota, Metazoa, Arthropoda, Insecta, Hymenoptera, Athaliidae.